AAUGAUAUUAUUUAAUUUGUUUCGGAUACAGUUAAAUUUUUAAUAAAUGAUUUAAUCUUAGAGCUUAUUGGGUGGAAUCAUUAAGUUUUAAUAUAAAUUGAUUUUUUAUUUUGAGGCUGGGAAAUUAAAUAUUUAGACUAGGAUUAGAUACCCUAUUAUUUUUAACGUAAAGUUGUUUCUGUAUUAGUAUUAGUUAUUUUCUUGAAAAUUAAAAAAUUUGGCGGUAUUUUAGUCUGUUCAGAGGAACCUGUCUAGUAAUUGAUGAUCCACGAGUUAAUGAACUUUUUCUUUAAGCUUAUAUAUCGUCGUAGUUUGAAAAUUUUUAUAGGAUGUUAAUUUUCAUGAUUUUUAUCGAAAGUAAAUCAGAUCAAGGUGUAGUUUAUGAAGAAGGAAGAGAUGGGUUACAAUAAAUUUAUUUAGUGAUUUUAGUUUGUAAAAUUGAAUGAAUUCGGAUUUGAAAGUAAUGUUAUUUAGAUUAUUAAUAUGAUUAUAGCUCUAAAAUAUGUACAUAUCGCCCGUCGCUUCCACUUUAAAGUGAAAUAAGUCGUAACAAAGUAGGCUUACUGGAAAGUGUGCCUGGGAAGACGGACUAGAGCUUGUCAAAAAGCAUUUUAUUUACACUAAAAAGUUAUCUGUGAAAAUCAGUUUAGUUUGAAUAGAUUCGAUUAUUAAUUAAAUUAUGUUUAUUUUUAUUUAUAAUAAGAAAAUUUUUUUUUAUUAUUAGUUAAGAAAAAAUUGUUAUAAUUAUAGAGUAAUAGUACUGUGAAGGAGUUGUGGUAUGUGUAUCAAAGAAGGGUUGAUUUUU
This 805-nucleotide ribosomal RNA is filed under the name Margites fulvidus. RNAcentral's name for it is "partial 12S ribosomal RNA". Lineage: Eukaryota; Metazoa; Arthropoda; Insecta; Coleoptera; Cerambycidae. The record is from RNAcentral.